GUAUUCCUAGAUCUUUGUUAUUACAUGCUCUGUCAUUUGCUUUCGUUGUCUUAUUACUUUGUUGUUGUUAUUGUUUGUUUAUUGUGUCAUUUUCACUGUUCUUGAGCUGAGGAUCUAUUGCAAAUAACUUCUCUUUCUUCAUAAGCUAAGGGUAAGAUCUGCGUACACAUUACCCUCCCCAAACCCAACAUGGGAUUUCACUGGAUUUAUUAUUUUUUGUGUGUGUGGGUGAGGGCGGGGGUUGAGGUCAAACUGAACUGACUAGUUCAUAAAUGAAGUGUAAGUAAUGCAAAGUUACA
This 299-nucleotide long non-coding RNA is filed under the name Nicotiana benthamiana. RNAcentral's name for it is "long non-coding RNA (NBEN_LNC001731)". The record is from RNAcentral. Lineage: Eukaryota; Viridiplantae; Streptophyta; Magnoliopsida; Solanales; Solanaceae.